GAUGAACGCUGGCGGCGUGCUUAACACAUGCAAGUCGAACGAGAAACCUUUUAUUGAAGCUUCGGCAGAUUUAGCUGGUUUCUAGUGGCGGACGGGUGAGUAACGCGUGGGUAACCUGCCUUAUACAGGGGGAUAACAGUCAGAAAUGGCUGCUAAUACCGCAUAAGCGCACAGAGCUGCAUGGCUCAGUGUGAAAAACUCCGGUGGUAUAAGAUGGACCCGCGUUGGAUUAGCUGGUUGGUGGGGUAACGGCCCACCAAGGCGACGAUCCAUAGCCGGCCUGAGAGGGUGAACGGCCACAUUGGGACUGAGACACGGCCCAGACUCCUACGGGAGGCAGCAGUGGGGAAUAUUGCACAAUGGGGAAACCCUGAUGCAGCGACGCCGCGUGAAGGAAGAAGUAUCUCGGUAUGUAAACUUCUAUCAGCAGGGAAGAUAAUGACGGUACCUGACUAAGAAGCCCCGGCUAACUACGUG
Molecule: ribosomal RNA, 477 nt
Filed under: uncultured bacterium
Lineage: Bacteria
Description: partial 16S ribosomal RNA
Rfam family: Bacterial small subunit ribosomal RNA
Source: RNAcentral